AGCUCACCUUACCUGACACCAAGCCAGCUCUCAACGUUGCUUUUGCCCUACAUCUCCUUCCCAUUCAAGGGGUUAAGGGGGGGUACUCCUCAACGCAGUCCAUAAUCUGGAGGCUCUGAUGAAGGGUCUGUCCAGCACUUUGCCCUGCGCACAUGGCGCAGAGGGGUAAUUACACAUGGCCUAUGGGCUCCUGAAUAUGCUUGGGUCUGGGAAUGUGGG
Non-coding RNA from Pelobates cultripes (western spadefoot toad), 219 nucleotides. NCBI's taxonomy places the organism in Eukaryota, Metazoa, Chordata, Amphibia, Anura, Pelobatidae. The record is from the annotation of a GenBank genome assembly.